AUUGAACGCUGGCGGCAGGCUUAACACAUGCAAGUCGAGCGGAAACGAUGGUAGCUUGCUACCAGGCGUCGAGCGGCGGACGGGUGAGUAAUACUUAGGAAUCUACCUAGUAGUGGGGGAUAGCUCGGGGAAACUCGAAUUAAUACCGCAUACGACCUACGGGAGAAAGGGGGCAACUUGUUGCUCUCGCUAUUAGAUGAGCCUAAGUCGGAUUAGCUAGAUGGUGGGGUAAAGGCCUACCAUGGCGACGAUCUGUAGCUGGUCUGAGAGGAUGAUCAGCCACACCGGGACUGAGACACGGCCCGGACUCCUACGGGAGGCAGCAGUGGGGAAUAUUGGACAAUGGGGGCAACCCUGAUCCAGCCAUGCCGCGUGUGUGAAGAAGGCCUUUUGGUUGUAAAGCACUUUAAGCAGUGAAGAAGACUCCGUGGUUAAUACCCAUGGACGAUGACAUUAGCUGCAGAAUAAGCACCGGCUAACUCUGUGCCAGCAGCCGCGGUAAUACAGAGGGUGCAAGCGUUAAUCGGAAUUACUGGGCGUAAAGCGAGCGUAGGUGGCUUGAUAAGUCAGAUGUGAAAUCCCCGGGCUUAACCUGGGAACUGCAUCUGAUACUGUUAGGCUAGAAUAGGUGAGAGGAAGGUAGAAUUCCAGGUGUAGCGGUGAAAUGCGUAGAGAUCUGGAGGAAUACCGAUGGCGAAGGCAGCCUUCUGGCAUCAUAUUGACACUGAGGUUCGAAAGCGUGGGUAGCAAACAGG
This 755-nucleotide ribosomal RNA is filed under the name uncultured bacterium. Its description in RNAcentral is "bacterial SSU rRNA". It matches the Rfam family "Bacterial small subunit ribosomal RNA", at positions 28 to 776 of the family's 1533-position model. The record is from RNAcentral.